UUGAAAUUGCCAUUUGUACUAUGUUGGAAAUCACAGGCAUCUGGCUCAUUUAGUCCAAAUAAUUGUACGUUUACGGAUUUUUUUUUACGUUUUUUGAUAUGGCAAAUCCUUUACGUACAAAUUGUUUAGUAUCAAAGUCACCCUCUGAAGUAUGCUAACCUUCCUGUUACAUAAUUUCAUGGAGAGUGGGACAGCAAAUUUACCAUAUAAGCCAUCCGCCAAGGAAACCUCAAUGCUGUCAAGAGGACCUGGGGGUUCAGGUUUGAAGAACAAAGAGCAGUAUGAUACCAGUGGUGAUGCCGGCUCUGAAUUCCUGGCUUGUUCUGAUGAAAAAUGGCAGAUGAGGCACUGGAAUGCAAUCAAAUAUGCCAUUGUACUGACAACUACAAAGCCAACCUGGAAGGGAAAAUAAGUACAAGACGGAAACAAAGUGGAACAAUAUGUUCAGUGGAACAACUUGAUAUUUGAUGUCUUACAGACGGUACUGAUGUGAAGUUGCAGAUAAUAGUCAACUGUUGGCCCGUGAUUAGUAAAUACAAAAAGUAACAUUUAACCCUUGAUGCCUAAAGCAAUACAUUCCGAAAACUUUACAACCUAGAUAGAGCCAGACUCCUUAAUAAUGCUUGGUAGUGCUACUCAGUGGUAACCCUCUUGCAGUCAACUUUUUUAAAUAUAUUUUUCAGAGUAUUUGAGUGAACUUUACAUUUAAACCGGACACAUAAUUCUUCACUGUGGAACUUUUUUAACUACGUAAAGUGCAUAUUUAUAUAUAUUUAUUCAGAUUUAUCUACACUUAAAACGGUUUUCAUAAGAAGGUAGGAAGAUAACUACAGAAACAGAAACAGAUGGAAUUGGCAGACCAAAUAAAGAAGAAUUUUGUUUAGUUCAAUUUAAAAAAAUUCAGAAAGUCCUAAUAGGGCACAUGCCAUAUUUUAAAUUGGGCUCUUAUAAAUGUGAAGAGGUGAAUGUGGUCUAGUGGAUAAGCCUAGGUGUCAGCCUCAAAUCCAAGGUUGUGGGUUGAAGGUUCAAGCCCCAACGAGAUACUUUCUGAUGGCCUCAGAAAAAGGAUGUCCGUACUAGUUUCUACUAAGGGAACAGACUUGAGAGUGUUUCUGCAAGCGUUUAGCUUGCGUAGCAAUCUAGCUAAAAUGAUUAGGUUUAAAAUAAGAUACUUGCUGACUUUCAAACAGUUUUUUUUCCAUUUGUGUUGAUUUGUUUUUCAGUCUGUUAGAAUAUUUAUUAGAAGUGAUGAGCAUUGCUUACUGCAACUAAUAUUAACUUUCUUAAUUAAGUUGAAUUAAACGCACAUAACAUGACUUGUGAUUUUACUGAUACAUUUUUAGCUCACCAGACACGAUGUGCUCAAGGUGAGCUAUUGUGAUCGGUCUUUGUCUGUCGUCCGUCUGUCACCAAUUGCUUAACAAACAACUGUGAAACUACCUGUCCAAAUUCAAUGAAACUUCACAGGAAGCUCCCUUGGGUGUCCCUCUACAAGAAUACAAGAAGGGGUCACGAUUGAUUAACAACAACAAGAAUAACAGCAACAACAACAAAAUGGCCAACUUCCUAUUUUGCUUUAAAAACAUCUCCUAUAAAUCUACCAGUCCAAAUUCAAUUAAACUUUGAAGAAAGCUUCGUUAAGUGACCCUAUACAAAAAUACACCAACGGUCAUGAUUGAUCAACAACAACAGCAAAAAAGGCCAAAAUGUUAAAAUCUGAUAGUUAUGUAAACUUUUACUCUUGGGCAGCAAGUCUUGCUACAUGUAUAUGGUCUCCCUUUUUGUUGGAGAUUCCACUACUUUCUAUUCUAGUAACAAGGGAAUAGAUUUUAAAUUUUAUUAAGUCUUCAACAUAGUCACUGAAAAGGAAUUAUUGCUCAUUUUUAAGGUUCAUAGAUAAAAUAAUUAUAAUAAACUUUAUUCUUUAGAAGGAACUUCAUUUUUACUUUAUAAUUAAUUUAAUAAUAAGACUUUCCCAUUGAACUUCAUGUAGAUUAAUCUAAGCUACAAUCUUAUCUUCUGUGUGGAUAGUGAAUAAUCCUUUCAGUUUAUGGAUUUAAAGAAAAUUUGGUUUUGAACAUGUGAAGGAAGGUGAUGUUGACAUAGAUUGAAGAAGCAAUGAUAUUAGUGGAAGGUGCUGAAUGUGUUCUGAUAUUUGUUUAUUAGAGCUUAAGGCAGUUUAUUGAUUUUAAUGGAUAGUGCACUGUUUGUUGUUUGUUUAUCUAUUCUAAAAACUCUUUCAGUGUGCAAGCAAUUAAACAUUAUUAGUUUUGUUAGUGUGCAGGCAAUUGAAAGAAGUCCUGUAUGUGUGCAGACAAUUGAACAAAGUCCUGUCAGUGUGCAGACAUGUGAAAAAAGUCCUGUCAGUGUGCAGGUAUCUGUACCAAGUGCUGUCCCUGUGCAGUCAAUUAUCAAGUCCUGUCAGUGUGCAGGCAACUGAACAAAAUCCUGUCAUUGUGCAGAUAUUAGAAUCAAAUUCUGUCAGUGUGCAGUCAAUCAUCAAGUCCUAUCACUGUGCAGGCAACUAAACGGAAUCCUGUCAGUGUGAAGUCAAUCACCAAGUCCUGUCAGUGUGCAGGAAACUGUGACAAGUCCUGUCAGUGUGCAGGCAACUGACAAGUCCUGUCAUUGAUUAUCCAGGCAACAUGUUUGAUCAGUAUCUUUUUUAAUAUUCUUUGAGAACAAAUAUCAAGCUAUAUUGAUUACAAAGGUUAAACUCUUUUAUCCAGGUGAGCAAUUUAGGGCCAAUAUGGCCCUCUUGUUUAAUUCUUCAAAUUAGUCACUUUUAAGGUAAUAAUUGUUUUCUCAUAGGUUAAUAUUAGGAAUUAUUAUAUCUCUUUUUAUUCUAGAAGAAUUUCAUUUUUACUCAAUGAUAAUUUAAAUGAUCAGACUUUUCCAUUGCACUUCAUGUAGACCAUUGUAAGUGUAAAAUCUCAUCUUUUUCGUGGUUUGUGAAUACACCUUAUAUAAACAAGACUGUAACUCACACUCAUAGAUGGGAAGCCAUGCUGUGUUGGAUUAAAAUUGAGACGAUUUUACUGUAGGCUCUUCAUAAGUAUUUUUUAUCAAAACCUCAUAAUUUAUAGAAGUAAUAUAUUUUAUUGGAUGAUGCGCUGUCCUUCGUUCCUAUGUCUUACACAAUUGCUUGUGAAAAUCAAAUUAUGCCUGUGGGGUCAAAACUCGCUUUGCCAUAAGGUUUUCUGUGGACUUUUAGAAAAUCUUCUUGUCUGACACUGCUAGGCCGAGACCUUUAAUAAUUUGUUACGAGCAUUAUGUAGUGGUCCUCUACCAAGAUUGUGAAAAUACGCCCCUUGGGUAAAAUUUGGUCCCACCCUUUUUGACCUACCUGUCUUAUUUUUUGACCAUGUUCACAAUUCUGUAAAUAAGAAUGGGCGUUUUUGUUGGUAAUAAACUGGUUUCAGUUUUAUUUCGGUUACACAAACCGUGUAUUUGUUGUUACAGUUUCAAAUAAAACCAAAACCAGUUUUAUCGUGUUUUUUUAAACAAAAACGGAAACCAGUUUUUGAGUCACUAUCCAAACCCCUACUGGAGGCGGGUUUAUCAGUUCAUUCCAUCCGAAAACUAGUUUGCUUUUAUAACAGCAUGGCAAAAUUGAUCAACCAUGUUUGUUGAAACUCAAUGUUUUUUUUAUAACAAUGCCUUACAAUGGGCAAAUAAGCUAAAUGAAAAAAGUACUAUUAAUAAGUGUGUGUUAAUAUAUCAGUUAGUAUGCUCCGACAUGUUGUUGAAACUGUUCACAAAACACGUUUUUGUUACUUCAAGCAAAAUUAUCAAAACCGGUUUCGAAUCUGCUGAAACCAUUGAUACCAAACUGAAACUGGUUUGGUAUCAACAAAAUCGCCCUAUGUUGUGGUUGGAUGACCUUGAUUGUGACUGCCUACUUUCUUAUUUAUGAAGCUACAGCAAUGAAAUUUGGAUCAUGUGUAAAAACAGAUAUCAAUAUUGUCCUCAGAUGACAUUGAAAGUGACUUUUUGACCUACUUCCUUUUUUUUAAGGUGCAGCAAUAACAUUUUGACCAUGUGUACAGUUUUGAAAAGAAAUAUCAAUGCUGUGAAUUACCUUUAUUGUACCUGUUUUGCAUCUUAUUUUUGAAGCUUCAGUUUUGAUAUUUGAAUCAUAUGUACAGCUUUGAGAACAAAUAUCAAACUAUAUUGAUUACAAAGGUUAAACUCUUUUACUCUGGUGAGCGAUUUAGGGCCAUCAUGGCCCUCAUGUUAUUUCAUUGAUUGUACGGGUGUAUUUUCUAAAAUCAUUAAAUGAUGUAAUAAAAGUUA
Long non-coding RNA from Mya arenaria, 4296 nucleotides. RefSeq lists it as uncharacterized. The record is from RefSeq and is a predicted model, not a curated record. Lineage: Eukaryota; Metazoa; Mollusca; Bivalvia; Myida; Myidae. The transcript has 4 exons.